This 623-nucleotide ribosomal RNA is filed under the name uncultured Crater Lake bacterium CL500-65. Its description in RNAcentral is "bacterial SSU rRNA". It matches the Rfam family "Bacterial small subunit ribosomal RNA", at positions 8 to 672 of the family's 1533-position model. The record is from RNAcentral.
AGAGUUUGAUCAUGGCUCAGGAUGAACGCUGGCGAGAUCCUUACACAUGCAAGUCAUACGAGAAUUUUUAAUUCAAGUGGCGGACGGGUGAGUAACACGUAAGAAUUUGCCUUUAGGAGGGGGACAACAACUGGAAACGGUUGCUAAUACCCCAUAUGCUUUCGAGUGAAACGGAAUUUUCCGCCUAAAGAGAAGCUUGCGGCUGAUUAGCUUGUUGGUGAGGUAAUGGCUUACCAAGGCGACGAUCAGUAUCUGGUUUGAGAGGAUGAUCAGACACACUGGAACUGAGACACGGUCCAGACUCCUACGGGAGGCAGCAGUGGGGAAUUUUCCGCAAUGGGCGAAAGCCUGACGGAGCAAUCUCGCGUGAGGGAUGACGGCCUAUGGGUUGUAAACCUCUUUUUUCAGGGAGGAAUAAAUGACGUGUACCUGAAGAAUAAGCAUCGGCUAACUCCGUGCCAGCAGCCGCGGUAAGACGGAGGAUGCAAGUGUUAUCCGGAAUCACUGGGCGUAAAGCGUCUGUAGGUGGUUUGAUAAGUCAACUGUUAAAUCUUGAAGCUCAACUUCAAAAUCGCAGUCGAAACUAUCAGACUAGAGUAUAGUAGGGGUAAAGGGAAUUUCCA